Molecule: ribosomal RNA, 492 nt
Filed under: uncultured bacterium
Lineage: Bacteria
Description: partial 16S ribosomal RNA
Rfam family: Bacterial small subunit ribosomal RNA
Source: RNAcentral
AGUGAACGCUGGCGGUAGGCCUAACACAUGCAAGUCGAACGGCAGCACAGUAAGAGCUUGCUCUUACUGGUGGCGAGUGGCGGACGGGUGAGGAAUACAUCGGAAUCUACUUUUUCGUGGGGGAUAACGUAGGGAAACUUACGCUAAUACCGCAUACUACCUACGGGUUAAAGCAGGGGAGCUUCGGACCUUGCGCGAUUGAAUGAGCCGAUGUCGGAUUAGCUAGUUGGCGUGGUAAAGGCCCACCAAGGCGACGAUCCGUAGCUGGUCUGAGAGGAUGAUCAGCCACACUGGAACUGAGACACGGUCCAGACUCCUACGGGAGGCAGCAGUGGGGAAUAUUGGACAAUGGGCGCAAGCCUGAUCCAGCCAUACCGCGUGGGUGAAGAAGGCCUUCGGGUUGUAAAGCCCUUUUGUUGGGAAAGAAAAGCAGCAGGUUAAUACCCGGAUGUUCUGACGGUACCCAAAGAAUAAGCAACGGCUAACUUCGUG